AUGGACAGAGCAAAAAGUGGAGUGUUGGUUAAAGCAAGCCGCCCUAUUCUAUUACCAGACAAAAUGGAGAGAAGCUCAUCCGCUAGAAAUGCUUUAUUUUGUUUCGUUCCCGUUCUUCAUUUCCUUAUUAUCGAAUCCAUGGGGGACUUGUCAUAUUUAGAAUCUUUCUGCGGUCUGCUCUAUUUACAAUUCUUUCGUACUCUCUUCUCUUUACCACGCGAUAGGUCAGCGAAGCGUGAGCGGGCGCUCUGA
This 252-nucleotide ribosomal RNA is filed under the name Triticum aestivum (bread wheat). RNAcentral describes it as "partial small subunit ribosomal RNA". Lineage: Eukaryota; Viridiplantae; Streptophyta; Magnoliopsida; Poales; Poaceae. The record is from RNAcentral.